GAUUGACCUCGGAUCAGGUAGGGAUACCCGCUGAACUUAAGCAUAUCAUAG
This 51-nucleotide ribosomal RNA is filed under the name Glaucomaria carpinea. RNAcentral's name for it is "Lecanora carpinea partial 28S ribosomal RNA". Lineage: Eukaryota; Fungi; Ascomycota; Lecanoromycetes; Lecanorales; Lecanoraceae. The record is from RNAcentral.